CAUUGUCAAAGGAUGUAAGAUACGACCUUCUUAGUUCUCCAGAGAAAACGCAUGGAUCUAGCAUUAUUGUGUCAAGGUCGCAAGAAGAGCUAACUGAUGAACCAAGGACAACCAGCGUAAUACAGAAAUUGUACAAAGAAGGGCCUGUUUUCCUGAUCAAGUAUGCCGACGGAUCAGGUGGUGUUUUUUAUCCUUCUGGGAAUCCAGCCAUCGUAAUAACCCCAGCAGAAUAUCCUCACUUCAUUUAUGUGAUCCUUGAGGACAAGGACAAGAAGCCCAGAAUGAUAGGCAUUUUCACACCUAAAGGCUGCGCUACGUGCUACCGUUCCAAUGGAUUGAUAUGGUUGAACAUAACCUCUAGUGGAGGUUUCUGCUUCGGGGAGACGGGCGAGUUGAGGAGGCGUUGGAACUGGCUGUAUUUUGACCCACAUGUGCACAACCUUCCAUUCAAGCCCCUCAUCUUCGCCAUGGGGCCAUGCAUCUCUAUCCACAUACAUUCACAAGAGUGUGUGUAUGUUAACUUCAUGUACAAGGAAAACCAUGUGCGUUUCAGCGUUGGCUCGGAGCUCGAGCUCACUUGCCCAGAAAGCCAUGCACAGCUAGGCCAAAGCAUUUUGGAGAGAGAAAUCCAAAUGCAGAAGACAAGGAUUUACUGUCUGCUUGACCAGAUGCAAACCUGCAUGUCCCACCCGUUGGCAAACAUGCAGAACAUAAAGCCACAUUACCGUUUCAUCGCCCGGCUGGAGAAGCUUACCAAGCAAGUGGAAAAAAAGAAGGCACUUCAAAACACACAGCCCAGUGCAAAUUAAAGGAGCAAUACUAAA
This is a long non-coding RNA of Poecilia latipinna (sailfin molly), 824 nucleotides long. RefSeq lists it as uncharacterized. Lineage: Eukaryota; Metazoa; Chordata; Actinopteri; Cyprinodontiformes; Poeciliidae. The transcript has 5 exons. The record is from RefSeq and is a predicted model, not a curated record.